UAUUGCCCAAUAAGCGAAAGCCUGGGACAGAGACCCCGCGGGAGGAAAGCAGUCCUUCGGGUUGUAAACCUGUUUCAUCAAAUACAAAGGGAAAGUGACGGUACCUUCACAAUAAGCACCGGCUAACUACGUGCCAGCAGCCGCGGUAAUACGUAGGGUGCAAGCGUUGUCCGGAUUUAUUGGGCGUAAAGAGCUCGCAGGCGGUUAGUCAAGUCAGAUGUGAAAUCCCGAGGCUUAACCUCGGACCUGCAUUCGAUACGGGAUGACUAGAGUGUUGUAGAGGAGAAUGGAAUUCCUGGUGUAGCGGUGAAAUGCGCAGAUAUCAGAAGAACCCCGGGGGAAGGCGUUCUCUGGGCAUUACUACGUGAGAGCGAAG
Molecule: ribosomal RNA, 376 nt
Filed under: uncultured bacterium
Lineage: Bacteria
Description: bacterial SSU rRNA
Rfam family: Bacterial small subunit ribosomal RNA
Source: RNAcentral